RNAcentral lists this ribosomal RNA (427 nucleotides) under uncultured bacterium. RNAcentral describes it as "partial 16S ribosomal RNA". It matches the Rfam family "Bacterial small subunit ribosomal RNA", at positions 355 to 774 of the family's 1533-position model. The record is from RNAcentral.
UGGGGAAUAUUGCACAAUGGGCGCAAGCCUGAUGCAGCCAUGCCGCGUGUAUGAAGAAGGCCUUCGGGUUGUAAAGUACUUUCAGCGGGGAGGAAGGCGAUGUGGUUAAUAACCGCGUCGAUUGACGUUACCCGCAGAAGAAGCACCGGCUAACUCCGUGCCAGCAGCCGCGGUAAUACGGAGGGUGCAAGCGCUAAUCGGAAUUACUGGGCGUAAAGCGCACGCAGGCGGUCUGUCAAGUCGGAUGUGAAAUCCCCGGGCUCAACCUGGGAACUGCAUCCGAAACUGGCAGGCUUGAGUCUCGUAGAGGGGGGUAGAAUUCCAGGUGUAGCGGUGAAAUGCGUAGAGAUCUGGAGGAAUACCGGUGGCGAAGGCGGCCCCCUGGACGAAGACUGACGCUCAGGUGCGAAAGCGUGGGGAGCAAACA